CGGGAAUAUUGCGCAAUGGACGGAAGUCUGACGCAGCGACGCCGCGUGAGCGAUGAAGGCCUUCGGGUCGUAAAGCUCUGUCCUUGGGGAAGAAGGUCUUCGGACUUGACGGUACCCAAGAAGAAAGCCCCGGCUAACUACGUGCCAGCAGCCGCGGUAAUACGUAGGGGGCGAGCGUUGUCCGGAAUUACUGGGCGUAAAGGGUGCGUAGGCGGCCCUUUAAGUCAGAUGUGAAAGGCCACGGCUUAACCGUGGGAUUGCAUUUGAAACUGGAGGGCUUGAGUGUCGGAGAGGGUAGUGGAAUUCCCAGUGUAGCGGUGAAAUGCGUAGAUAUUGGGAGGAACACCAGUGGCGAAGGCGACUACCUGGACGAUAACUGACGCUGAGGCACGAAAGCUAGGGGAGCAAAC
Molecule: ribosomal RNA, 410 nt
Filed under: uncultured bacterium
Lineage: Bacteria
Description: bacterial SSU rRNA
Rfam family: Bacterial small subunit ribosomal RNA
Source: RNAcentral